Molecule: ribosomal RNA, 500 nt
Filed under: uncultured Glomeromycotina
Lineage: Eukaryota; Fungi; Glomeromycota
Description: partial small subunit ribosomal RNA
Rfam family: Eukaryotic small subunit ribosomal RNA
Source: RNAcentral
CCAAUAGCGUAUAUUAAAGUUGUUGCAGUUAAAAAGCUCGUAGUUGAAUUUCGGGGUCAGUAGGCUGGUCGUGCCACAGGUACGUACUGGUCUCACUGAUUCCUCCUUCCUGAUGAACUGUAAUGCCAUUAAUUUGGUGUUGCGGGGAAACUGGACUGUUACUUUGAAAAAAUUAGAGUGUUUAAAGCAGGCUAACGCUUGAAUACAUUAGCAUGGAAUAAUGAAAUAGGACGUUCGAUCCUAUUUUGUUGGUUUCUAGGAUUGACGUAAUGAUUAAUAGGGAUAGUUGGGGGCAUUAGUAUUCAAUUGUCAGAGGUGAAAUUCUUGGAUUUAUUGAAGACUAACUACUGCGAAAGCAUUUGCCAAGGAUGUUUUCAUUAAUCAAGAACGAAAGUUAGGGGAUCGAAGACGAUCAGAUACCGUCGUAGUCUUAACCAUAAACUAUGCCGACUAGGAAUCGGAUGAUAUUAAUUUUUUAAUGACUCAUUUGGCGCCUUACG